UGCUUGUGUAGGAUAGGUGGGAGGCUUUGAAGCGUGGACGCCAGUUCGCGUAGAGCCAACCUUGAAAUACCACCCUGGCAACUUUGAGGUUCUAACUCAGGUCCGUUAUCCGGAUCGAGGACAGUGUAUGGUGGGUAGUUUGACUGGGGCGGUCUCCUCCUAAAGAGUAACGGAGGAGUACGAAGGUGCGCUCAGACCGGUCGGAAAUCGGUCGUAGAGUAUAAAGGCAAAAGCGCGCUUGACUGCGAGACAGACACGUCGAGCAGGUACGAAAGUAGGUCUUAGUGAUCCGGUGGUUCUGUAUGGAAGGGCCAUCGCUCAACGGAUAAAAGGUACUCCGGGGAUAACAGGCUGAUACCGCCCAAGAGUUCAUAUCGACGGCGGUGUUUGGCACCUCGAUGUCGGCUCAUCACAUCCUGGGGCUGAAGCCGGUCCCAAGGGUAUGGCUGUUCGCCAUUUAAAGUGGUACGCGAGCUGGGUUUAGAACGUCGUGAGACAGUUCGGUCCCUAUCUGCCGUGGACGUUUGAGAUUUGAGAGGGGCUGCUCCUAGUACGAGAGGACCGGAGUGGACGAACCUCUGGUGUUCCGGUUGUCACGCCAGUGGCAUUGCCGGGUAGCUAUGUUCGGAAUAGAUAACCGCUGAAAGCAUCUAAGCGGGAAACUAGCCUCAAGAUGAGAUCUCACUGGGACCUUGAGUCCCCUGAAGGGCCGUCGAAGACUACGACGUUGAUAGGUUGGGUGUGUAAGCGCUGUGAGGCGUUGAGCUAACCAAUACUAAUUGCCCGUGAGGCUUGACCAUAUAACACCCAAGCAAUU
Molecule: ribosomal RNA, 817 nt
Filed under: Pseudomonas sp. JV414
Lineage: Bacteria; Pseudomonadati; Pseudomonadota; Gammaproteobacteria; Pseudomonadales; Pseudomonadaceae
Description: partial 23S ribosomal RNA
Rfam family: Bacterial large subunit ribosomal RNA
Source: RNAcentral